This is a non-coding RNA of Carcharodon carcharias (great white shark), 372 nucleotides long. The record is from the annotation of a RefSeq genome assembly. Lineage: Eukaryota; Metazoa; Chordata; Chondrichthyes; Lamniformes; Lamnidae.
AUGCCGUUUCUGAUUGUCUCAUUCAGUGAAGCCAUAUUGGCCACAAGGUAUAGGGGCGGCGCGGUAAAUAUAAACUACACAGGCGUUCAUUGUGAGGAUCCGAGCUCCCACCCUGAGCAGGUGGUGUCUCGGGAAGGGGAACGGGUGGAACUGGACUGUCGGCUCUCUGUUGAUACUGGUUAUUCCGUAGCCUGGUACAAACAAACACUAACAGGGGCUCCGACAUUUAUCGCCUCCAUAUACCAGGGGAAUAUGACCCAAGGACGCUACACACUGUCCUUUGACCAAACAAAGAAGUCCAAUACCCUCUCUAUAGACAAUAUAGCCGUCCAGGACGCCGGAAUGUAUCACUGUGCGACGCAGACACGGUGA